Molecule: ribosomal RNA, 506 nt
Filed under: uncultured marine bacterium
Lineage: Bacteria
Description: bacterial SSU rRNA
Rfam family: Bacterial small subunit ribosomal RNA
Source: RNAcentral
CCUACGGGAGGCAGCAGUGGGGAAUAUUGGACAAUGGGCGCAAGCCUGAUCCAGCCAUGCCGCGUGAGUGAAGAAGGCCUUCGGGUUGUAAAGCUCUUUCAGAUGUGAAGAUGAUGACGGUAGCAUCAGAAGAAGCCCCGGCUAAUUUCGUGCCAGCAGCCGCGGUAAUACGAAAGGGGCAAGCGUUGUUCGGAUUUACUGGGGGUAAAGGGCACGCAGGCGGUCUUGCCAGUCAGGGGUGAAAGCCCGGGGCUCAACCCCGGAACUGCCUCUGAUACUGCAGGACUAGAGACUAGGAGAGGGUGGUGGAAUUCCCAGUGUAGAGGUAAAAUUUGUAGAUAUUGGGAGGAACCCCAGAGGAGAAGGCGGCCACGUGGACUAGAUCUGACGCUCAGGUGAGAAAGCGUGGGGAGCAAACAGGAUUAGAUCCCCUUGGAGCCCACGCUGUAAACGAUGAGUUCUAGUUUCCGGACUUCGGUUUCGGUACGCAGCUAACGCAUUAAGCA